Molecule: long non-coding RNA, 9531 nt
Filed under: Prunus persica (peach)
Lineage: Eukaryota; Viridiplantae; Streptophyta; Magnoliopsida; Rosales; Rosaceae
Description: long non-coding RNA (PPER_LNC002594)
Source: RNAcentral
UGUACAUGAGUUUGAAUUUGUAUUAAAUGAUAAUAAUGAGGUAAAUUAACAAUAAUAACAUUAUAAAACGGAUCCUUAAAAUAGUCAUCAUGCACCCCUCACUUAAAAUAUUCUCAGCAUAUGCAAUCAGUAAUCCUAUUAGGUCAGUUUAGUACUUAAUUAAUAUAAAGCUACCAUAAAAUUUCAAUAUAUUUGUUCCAUAUACAAAAGAAAAAAAAUGAUAUAGAUCUAAUACUAAUGCAUGCAUAAAUCAUGAAAUUUCACUUAGAACCCCUGAAUUUUAGCAUAAUUACAGCUAGAGCCACAUGUUUCAUUUAUUGCAAUCACACCCCCUAAAUCUAAUUAGAUUAAAGAAAAAACCCCCAACAAAAUCAGGCACUACCCCCAACCAAACCCUUCAGCCACAACCCCAUCCAAGCCCAUCCUCAAUCCAUCCCCAACUAACCUCCCCGACCAAAAAUCCCACCCAACCACCCCGGCGCACCACCAAGCUCUUGUGGGUUAGAGGUUUAUAAAUGAAGAACAGAAAAGAACAAGAAGAAAAAAGUACUUCAACACAUACCUUUGCCACUAAUGGUACACCUGCACACUUUUUGGCAAUCUCCCUUCCGAUUCUCUCUUGAUCUUCAGUCAAAACAACACUCGCAUCUAGAAACGCUUUAUACUUCAAUAUGCACCAGCAUUGAUCCUCCGAUAAUUUUCCCAGAACACAUGUAGGAAGUGUUUGUACAAUUGAUGAAACACUCACAUUGCGAGUAGUGACAAGGAUUUUGCUUGCUUUAGUGCUUGUAGCAUUCAACAAGCAACUCAUCAAAUCGUCCCAUUUGCUACGAUCGUCGUUCCAAACAUCGUCAAGCACGAGAAGAUAUGUCUUCCCUUUCAAAUCUUCUUGCAGGUUUUCACAUAUUGUUGCUUUACCCUUUAUCCCAGCUUUCUCUGGUUUAAGACAUUCCAAGAUCUCGCUUAAAAUCUUUUUGACUUCAAAAGGAGUAGAUACACAUACCCAUAUUUUUUGAUCGAAGUGUCUACCUAUCUCAGGAUCAUUAUAUACAGAUUUAGCCAAAGUUGUCUUGCCCAAGCCUCCCAUCGCCACAAUGGCCAUAACAGAAAGACAAUUGUCUUGGUUCUUGCCAGAGUUGAUCAGGGUUGUAACUAUGUCCGACGCAACCUCCUUCCUUCCAACAAUGUACUUUUCAUCUUGAUCAAAGUUUGAGACGGUUUCCCUGUCAAGUCCUCCAAUAUCAUGAGAUGUUGCAUUGACCAGUGUUGACCUAUCAACCAGUCCAAUACUAGCUGCCUCAUUCUUCAGGUUUGCCAAAGAUGCAUUGAUGUUUUUAAUUUUAUGUGCCAUUUUGCGACGAAAUGCAAUGGGAUUGUGGCGUGAAAAGAAGUUGAGCACCUUGUUCUUGAUCUGAUUUUGGAUCUCCACUUUCCGCCGGAGAAGUUCAUAUUCAUAUUCAUCCAACACAUCAUCUGCUUCAUGAGCUAUGCCUUCCAGAUCCUUCACCCACAUCUCCACCCUCUCACCCCGAACUUGUAAAUGUUGUGCAUCUCUGAGCAUAGCUUCCAACUUGAAUAAUGAGUCUCGUAGAGUUGUUAGCUCUCCUUUGAAUCCCCAGAGAAGACUGAGUUCUUGCUCUGCAAGUGAAGCCACCCUCGUCAGAAUUCCCUCAGCACCAAAAGUAAGAAACUCUGCAGCCAUAUUUUCUUUCAGUGUUGCUCAAGACAGAGAGCAGAAUGCUUAGUUUGGGUUAGAAAAGUAGAGCAAAAUUGAGGACGCAAUGUAUCUUUGAGAAGGUUGUGAGGGAUUUGUAGACAAGAAGGUGCGCAUAUGGCUGGCGUAAAAAGAUAUAAUAAUUGAAGAGAGCAUCAAGUGCUGUCGGUUGGAUUAUCGGGGUUGUUUGGAAUACUUUUGAAAAAAUAAUAAUGAGAAUCGGCACCAAGUCAUUCUUUAUCCCGCUCCAGUCCAAAACCAAAAAGUCACAAGAAAUUAAAAAAUUUAUAAUGGCGACGUGGUGGGGACCUCGGAUUUGAUGAGACAUUAGGCUACUGUUAAUUACUUUUCUUGUGUCCGUAGACGCUUUUUGAUUAAUCGAUGACAUUGUCGUUGUUGAGAAAUAAUCAAAGAAAGUUGUUAAUAGCUCAUCAAAUUUGCACGUCAUUAGGUUCCAUGAGGAGCGCUUGCCCUUAAACGAUUAUUAAAAGAUGCUAAGUGCUUAAUAAUCUUUUUGAAGCAGUCAAAGUUGGACAAACAUUAUUUUAACUCUAUGUUCAAGAGGGCCUGGGACAAUUAUUUUGAAUUUUGAUUCUUGAAUAAAAUUUUAAUGCAAAGUCCUUUAUAAUGAAUACACGUCAACGUAGGAAAUAAAGCAAUGUUAUGUUACAAAUUGAAACGAAACAAAAUUAUAAGACAGUGUUUUAGUUAUAAAUACAGUGGCAUAUAGUAAGUAUUACGCUACAAAACUAUAAGUUAUAAGUAGAGAAUCCGAAUUUUUUCCAACUGAAUUAUUUGUUAACACGAAAAUCGAACUUGGAAUCUUUAUCCUUUACCUCAAUUGGGUCUAAUUUAAUGCUUAUUCAAUGGUGAAAACACUUCUUGCUACUAUAAUAAUACUACUACAUUUGAGCCAAGACUCAAGUCUUAGGCUAUCUUCAGUCAUAGGGCUAAAUAUCGUCUAGGGCUAAAUAUUUAGCCUCCAAAAUAUUAAUUUUUUAAAGAUAGUAUAGGGCUAAAUUUUUUCAUCUCCAGCCAUGCAAGGCAAUAUUUUAGGGUCCUUUAUAUUUUAUUAUUUUGAGAAAAACUAUGGUACAACACUCAUGCAUUCCACAACUAUGUAUUGUUUAAUUUAAUUAAACUACUAUUUAGAGACAAUAUUCCAUGACCAAUAAUUUUUUUUAAUUUUUUUUAAACAACACUUGAAAACAUUUAAAAAGGUGACCACAUUUAUUUAUUAUUAUUUUUUAAAAGGAUGAGUUUCAAUGGUCUGACCUCCAACGAUCAUGACUAGUAAUUUUUUAUAAUUUUUUUACAAAUUGAAAAUAUUUGAAAAGGUGAUCACAUUUUUUUUUAAAAAAAAGUUGGGUUUCAAUAGUCUGACUUCCAAUGGUCAUGACCAAUAAUUUUUUUAAAUAAAUGUUUCUUAAACAACACGAAUUGAAAACAUUUAAAAAGGCUUUUAAAAAUAUAUCGAUGAAGUCAUCACUUUUAUUGUUGGCUGUUGGAUAUGAAUUUGCACGAGAUAAUUCGUGUUGUUGCCCACACUUAAUAAUUUAUCUUCUUCAAAAGCACACACCUGAACCCUAAAGCUGGGCCAAAUAUGGCCCAGUUGGAGGGCAAAAUGGCUAAAUUUGGCCAAAAUUUUAUUUAGCCCAUGACUGGAGAUGAGUUUCGCAUUAUUUUAGAGCUAUAUUUGGGAUAUAUAGGGCUAAAUGUAAUCCAGGACUAAAUAUUUAGCCCUCUAAAAUAUUAAUUUUUUAAAAAUAAUGUAGGGUUAAAUUGAGAUACUUAAAUACAAAUCGAAUCUAAAUUCAAAAACUAAUAAAACAAUUAAUCCCAAUAAUAAUUUAGGAGAGCGCCAAGUGCUGUCGGUUGGGCUACUAAUCCCACGAUGAUUGUGUGGAAUUAUUGCAUGUAAUAAUUGUGUGUGGAAUACUUUUGAAAAAAAAAUUAAAAUUGUGCAUGGAAUAAUUGUGGAUAGAUAUCCUUGUGCUUAGAUUCUGGAUGAGGUUGUGGACGGGCUUAAAAUGAAAGGAUGGUAUAGUUGUUUUGUCCAUUUGUGAUUAACAAAUUUUCUUUGUAUAUUGUCACCCAAAUACAUAAACUAAAUGCAAGGGACUUGUAUUAUAACUGGUUAAAAAUAUUUAUUCAUAAAUUGAAGGUAUUAAGUUUAAUUACACUUUUUUUUAGAAUUGCUUUUUAUUAAAAAAAAAAAUACAUGAACUAAAUGAACCGUUUAUCACGAGAAUCUUAAUUAUUAUCAAAUUCCAGAUUUUUACAGGAAACUUACAUUGUGAAUUUACUUUAACCACCAGGACCUGCAACUAAAUAUAAUCCCAUCCCAAUUCCAAACAAUCAAUUUCACAUCUGUAAAAUUUUCUCGUUAUGGCCCUCAAUUUCACUAAUUAUGCGUAUUAUCUCAAAAUUUACAACGAACAAAUAAAUUCCACCGGGGGUGUCCGAAUGACUAAGCAGUACAGGAACAGAAAUAGAAAAGCUUAUAUGUGAUUGCCAUUUCAAGUUGCAACUGUUGUUACUCUGCCUUCCUCUCAAUCUCUUCCAGUGCUUCCCACAAUUUUGUCUCCUCAAAGUCUCUUCAAUAACGAAGGCCACUACUGGCAUUCCAGCUGCUACUCCAGCUUUCACCCCUGAAACAGAAUCCUUAACAACCAAAAACAGAACACAGAUGAGUGCAAGGCAUAUCAAAAACUUACUGGAGAAUGCUGUUGUUAGUAUUGCAAAGCACACAGUUCUGAGAGCCGAACCUCAAAUGCGAAAGGGUCAGGAAAUGGUUUCGCUCCAUCACAUUCAUCUCCAACAACAACAAAUUCAAAGAAAUUCAAGAGCUCCACCAUUUGGCCUUGGAGCAUUUGUCCCUGCAGUCUGUAUCAAGCCUUGAUUUUCAAUCCAUUGGUGCAACUUGUGGAGGUCCUUAACAGGUUCUACUUGUUCAGAUGCCAAUCUGAUCUCAUUGGAUGAGAGAAAAUGAAACAGAUGAAGCAUUUUUUUCUUUCAGAAAACUAUUGGAACACUCUGAGUAUAUAAUUGAAAAGCAUUUUUUUUCUUUCCAAAAACUGACAAGAAAAGACGACCCCCUGUUAUUAAUACCACAUUAUGUCCAAAUCAAUAGGGUGUGUGAUUAAUCUAAAACGUCACAAAUUUUGUCUAGCUUAAAACAAAAUAAAAAAGCUUCUGAUUUUGUUGCAUAGCAGUUUACUUGAGUUGCACAUUCUAAAACAAGAAAUUCUUAGCAAUCUGAUGUGUAACAUAAAUACGAAAUACAUAAAAAAUUAAAAAUAAGAAUAAAAAGAGUUGAUUUUUUCACUUCUCUUUUGUUCACUUGGAUGCUGAUUCUUGGAUUACACUUAUAAAAACCAAAAGGUAAGUGGACAAAAACAGAGUGCGAAAAUCAGCAGCCAAAAAAAGGGAAAGAGAGUGGAGCAAUAAGAUAGGAUGCUGGUUCUUGGGUUGUUGGGCUUGGUGCUUUAAAUGUUAGGAAGCUCACAUUUGUAUCCAAAAUCCAUCUUUGGACACCCAUGUUAAAUUUUAAAUAAAUUUUUAGUUUUCUUUGGACACAGAAUUUGACAAAUUAAAAUACAAUAUAUAAUGAAUGUUUUCAUUACUAAUAUAAAAAUUUCCACUUGUUAGGGUUUGUAGGUUCCUUAAAAAUUAGUGUUGGUCAUAGUGGACCGGUGAUCUGUCUCUUUGAUCGGGCCUGAAUUUCACAUACGUAAAAGAUGUUCUAUAAUAGCAAGCCCAAAGAGGAAACAAAUUUGUGUACUCUUUUUCCUUAAGAUUUAAAAAUACAGAGUGGAAUGUAUACCUGUAGAAAUUGGAGAGCUUUUGAAUACCUUCACAACACAAGAGAAACCAACAACCUUACUUUUUCCAGAAAGAAUCAAUCCUAUAAAGCUGUUAGAAAGCUAAUAUAAUAUCUGAGCAUCAUCUUCAAAACAGAAAACCAUCUGGUGGAAAGUACCUGGACUCUGUUUGCUCCCAUUACAAAAAAUGUUCCUUCAGGUAACAAAUAAAAAACCCACCUCCAAAUUAUGCCAAAAUAACAAUAGACCCUACCUGCAGAAGCAACAUCAUAGACAGAGAGUAAACUCAUGAGAAAAAAGAACAACAGAGGCUAGGGAGUUGCUUGUAUCAAAUACUAAUUAUAAAUACGACAUAAUAAUAUGAAUUCCACACCUGUAGGCUGUAGGCUGUAGGCUGUAGGGAAGGGAGACCUUUUCUUCAAUCAACUCUCCACACCAGCACUUGUCUCAAGGAAAAAAGCAACUGACUUGAGUUGAAUGCCAGAGGAAAAGAAAAUGUGAUAUAUGGGAGAAAAGAGUUUUAUUCUUUUUAGAGAAUGAAAAAAGAAUGAUACCUUUAGAAGCAGAGUCACUCAGUGACUUGAGUUGAGGAUCAUUUUCUCAACAACAAUUCACACCACUUUCAACUAUUUCGCAUUUCAGGAUGAUACUUUCUCAGACUAUUGAAUCUGGUAGCUACAACCGUACGUGGUCAACUAGAGAUUUAAACAUAAAUAUUAGAAAUCAUUAUUUCGUAAAGGGGAAAGAAUUAGAAAGUAAUUAAGUUCAAUGAAAUGUAGGUGAAGAAAAUAGAAUGCAUAGUUGAUUUAAGAGCCAAAAAUAAUAAAAGCAAAAAGAAAAACAUACCAUAUAUUCUUGGAAUACGAGAAAUCUUAGGCCAUUCUGAGCCGCUCUUCUUGUUGCAUCUCUCUUUUAGAAGGGGACAAUGCAAAAUCCAUAUGCGUUCUAAUUUGGUGAGGCAUUGCAUAGCUUCGAGUGUAGGUAGAUACAUCAUAUUCUUGCAAUAAUAUAUAUCCAAGUACUUAAGAGAUGUAAGGUUUCUCAACCACUCUGGAAGAGCCUCCAUUCCGUCAAAGGAUUCCACUUUGAAAAAUGUUAGAGAAGUGAAGUGUUGAAUUUGUUCAGGCAGAGACUUGAGUUUAGGCCAACCCCAUAACUUUAAUGUUUUAAGUUGUGAUGUAACCUGAAAAGCAGGGAAUGAAUCGAGCUCCUUCCAAAAGCCACCGAUUUCCAAUGUCUUCAAGUGGUUGAGGCAGGAUGUUAUUGCUAAUCCACUGGGUAGACUUUUCAAUCCAUCGCAAGAAAAUAUCCCCAAUUCCUGGAGGUUUGUGAGGUUGUCUAAACUUGUAAUAGAUUCUACAUUCGGCAACUUGCUUAUUCUCAACACCUCAAGACAAGAACAUGAUUCUAGCCUUAUUGGCAGACUUGUCAAUCCAUGGGAAUCUUCGAUUCUCAAUUCACGAAGGCAUGUAAAGCCGAGUAAACUUGGAACAGACUCUGGACUCAUGCUGCAACCAAAUAUUGACAACUUCCGGAGGGAUGGGAGGCUGUGAAUCAAAGCGGAUGUUAGCAUAUCACAAUUUGAUAUUGCCAACUCCUGAAGAGAGGUAUAAUAAUCUAACCCACUCGGUAGACUUGACAACUCCUGACAGCCUGUAAUCUCUAAUUUGCAGAGGGAUGGGAGGGCCUGUGUAACUGGAAGCAACUGUAGACCAUUGCAAUCUUGUACAACCAGUUUCUUAAGAGAUGUUGUGAGUAGCCCAUCCGGCAAAUAAGCAAGAAUAGGACAAUUGGAAAUACGCACUGAAUCAAGAAGUGCGCAAGAGCCAACUACAUCAGGAGAAGCAAUACGAGUUAGCUCUUGACAAUCUUCUAUCUCCAAGUAUGUAAGAUUCUUGUUGUUUUUUAGCAUCCCUUCUGGCAGAGAAACAAGUCCGCUUAUCUUCCUUAUUGUGAGCGAAGUAAGAGUGGUCAGCUUAUUGCUUAUGUUUGCUAUUGGCAUGCCGCUACCCAUGGAAUGUAUCUUCAACGUCUUGAGAGAUGGGAAAUGGCUAGGAGCACUUCUCAAUUUAUCACAAUUCCUCAAAACCAGCUCCUCGAGGCAAGGAAAGACCACUAUCCCACUUUCUAGCCAUUCAGUUAGGUUCCUAGCGUUGUAAAUCUUUAACCUUUUCAAUACAGGAAACGAACUACUCAUGAUCCAUGAUGGACAUUUAUCGCCCAUGAAGUUGAAAAGUUGUAAAAAUUCUAGUUUACUAGGGUGUGGUUGAAGGCCUUCUAGUACCUCUUCAUCAUUGGUGAUGCUUGACCUAUCCUCUGCCCACUGAAACUUUAACUUGCUUAUGUUUGUCUUCUUCACUAAUUUUGCUUUCUUGGCUUCUUCUCCAUCUCUCAUGUGCUCUAGAUUACUGAUAUAUAAUUGGCCUUUUAACAGGUUUAAGCCAGCCAGCUCCUCUAUUCCACGACCUGUCUCCUUACCCACAAUGAAAUAUUGUAAUGUUCGGAGAUUGGUCAAUCGCCCCAUUCCUGCGGGAAAUUUCAUAUCAUACGGAUAAAAAUAAAUAUGUCUCAAGUUUAUCAAAUUUUGCAGUUCUUUUGGAAACUCUUCAAGCUCGACCCCUUCCAUUCUUAAUGUUUGUAGAUUAUAAAGCUUUCCAACGGAUUUGGGGAGUGCUUUGAUAUUUGUAUAGGAAACAUCCAGAUACCUCAAGUGUUUCAACUUUCCAAUAGCAAUUGGCAACUCCUUAAUAUCAGCUUGAUAUAAAUUUAAGACACGCAAACCUCUAAAAUUCGGUAAGAUAUCACCAAGAACUUCAACAUUCAAGAAAAGUGAGCGCAAUUUAUGAGCACUUCUUUCUGGAACUCCUUGCAGCACUGAGGUAGGAAUAUGUGUCAUAUGUCGAGUCUCAUUGGAGUUAUUGCUCUUCCGUUUUGACACAUGUUCUGCGAGAUCAUGCACAAGGUCGUGCAUUUUGCAACUUGUAAUAUUACCAUACCAAUCCUUUUCAACGUCUUGAAAGAAAGAGUUGUUCAAUAGAAUAUUAAAAUAUUCAUUUCCUAUAUCCUCCAUCUCUAGAUUACGUCUGUUGGGAGGAGAAGGGUAAAGCAAUCCUUGAGCCAUCCAAAGGUUGAUCAAGUCAUCCUUUUGAAUUUGGAAAUCUUUGACAAACAUUGAGCAAUAUGCAAAACAUUGUUUCAAAUAUGGUGAUUUCAAUUUAUCAAAACUCAACUUCAAAACUGACAAGAUUCUUUCUUCUCCUUCUGGUAAAUCCCAUAUUCUACUUUCUAGAAUUGACCGCCAUCCAUCAAUAUCUUGAGAACGCAUCAUAUUUCCCAAAACCUAGUGUACAUGAGUUUGAAUUUGUAUUAAAUGAUAAUGAGGUAAAUUAACAAUAAUAACAUUAUAAAACGGAUCCUUAAAAUAGUCAUCAUGCACCCCUCACUUAAAAUAUUCUCAGCAUAUGCAAUCAGUAAUCCUAUUCGGUCAGUUUAGUACAUAAUUAAUAUAAAGCUACCAUAAAAUUUCAAUAUAUUUGUUCCAUAUACAAAAGAAAAAAAUGAUAUAGAUCUAAUACUAAUGCAUGCAUAAAUCAUGAAAUUUCACUUAGAACCCCUGAAUUUUAGCAUAAUUACAGCUAGAGCCACAUGUUUCAUUUAUUGCAAUCACACCCCCUAAAUCUAAUUAGAUUAAAGAAAAAACCCCCAACAAAAUCAGGCACUACCCCCAACCAAACCCUUCAGCCACAACCCCAUCCAAGCCCAUCCUCAAUCCAUCCCCAACUAACCUCCCCCACCAAAAAUCCCACCCAACCACCCCGGCGCACCACCAAGCUCUUGUGGGUUAGAGGUUUAUAAAUGAAGAACAGAAAAGAACAAGAAGAAUGCAUGCAAAAAGUACUUCAACACAUACCUUUGCCACUAAUGGUACACCUGCACACUUUUUGGCAAUCUCCCUUCCAAUUCUCUCUUGAUCUUCAGUCAAAACAACACUCG